AACGAACGCUGGCGGCAUGCCUAACACAUGCAAGUCGAACGAGACCUUCGGGUCUAGUGGCGCACGGGUGCGUAACGCGUGGGAACCUGCCCUUAGGUUCGGAAUAACUCCCCGAAAGGGGUGCUAAUACCGGAUAAUGUCUUCGGACCAAAGAUUUAUCGCCUUUGGAUGGGCCCGCGUUGGAUUAGCUAGUUGGUAGGGUAAAAGCCUACCAAGGCGACGAUCCAUAGCUGGUCUGAGAGGAUGAUCAGCCACACUGGGACUGAGACACGGCCCAGACUCCUACGGGAGGCAGCAGUGGGGAAUAUUGGACAAUGGGCGAAAGCCUGAGCCAGCAAUGCCGCGUGAGUGAUGAAGGCCUUAGGGUUGUAAAGCUCUUUUAUCCGGGAUGAUAAUGACAGUACCGGGAGAAUAAGCUCCGGCUAACUCCGUG
This 433-nucleotide ribosomal RNA is filed under the name uncultured bacterium. RNAcentral's name for it is "partial 16S ribosomal RNA". It matches the Rfam family "Bacterial small subunit ribosomal RNA", at positions 29 to 507 of the family's 1533-position model. The record is from RNAcentral.